UAUUGAUUGGAGGAGGUUCUUAGGUUUAUUGAUGUGGUACAAACUGCCGCCUGACACAUCAUUGCCCAUUGCUUUUCAGACAUAUAAGCAUUUUCUUGAUGAGGGAAGGGCUCCAUAUCCUGUUCCACUUUUUAUUGAUGAAGGACCAUCAGAAGAGGCUAUCAGCUGGAAUGCAGAUAAACACUUUGACAUUUCAUUCUAUCUUAGGCUUCUUCAUUAUAGUGAAGAGAGAGAAUUUAGCUUUUUGAAGGCUAUGUUUAGUGCAUUCUCUUCAACCCCUGAUCCACUUGAUUAUCACAUGAUAUGGCAUCAACGAGCAGUCUUGGAAGCAGUGGGUGUUAUCAAAUCUAAUGAUCUUCAUGUUCUAGACAUGUGAUUCGUGUCUCAGCUUUUGAGCCUAGGAAAAUGCCAUUGGGCCAUAUAUGUUGUCCUUCAUUUACCCUUUCGAGAAGACUGUCAAUUUCUUCAUGUGAAUUUGAUUCGGGAGAUAUUGUUUCAGUACUGCGAAAUUUGGAGUUCAGAUGAAUCUCAGCAACAGUUCAUUCAGGAUUUAGGCAUUCCUUCAGAAUGGAUUCAUGAGGCUCUGGCAAUUUAUCAUAAUUAUAAUGGUGAUCUGCCAAAAGCUCUUGAGCACUUUCUUCAGUGUGCAAAUUGGCAGAAAGCUCAUACCAUUUUCGUAACAUCAGUUGCUCAUAGUUUAUUCUUGCAAGCCAAUCACUGAGAGAUAUGGAGGAUUGCAACUUCCAUGGAGGACCACAAAUCUAAAAUUGAGAAUUGGGAGUUGGGAAGUGGAAUAUAUAUUUCAUAUUAUUUGAUGAGAAACUCACUUCAGGGAGACACCGAUGCGAUGACUCAAUUGAUUCUCUUCAAAGUAAAAAUGCUGCCUAUCAGGAAUUUGUCAGUCAGCUUAAUGCAUCAUUGGCUGUUUGGGACCGCAAAUUACCUGUUGAUGCAAGAUUGGUGUAUUCAAAAAUGGGGAGUGAGAUAUGUGAUUUGCUGCUAUCUGCUGUGGCGAGGGUGCUAGCCGAGAUGAACAGUUUAGCUGCUUUGACACUGCUUUCAGUGCACCAGUUCCAGAAGAUGUUCGCUCUGGUCAUCACUUGCAGGACGCAGUGUAUCUGUUUACCAGCUUUCUCUCUGAGAUUGCUACUUAAUUCCACAGUUUGCCUAUUGCUUGUGAUUUUUGAAAUCAGAAAAGAAAUGCGUGUUACAGGGGAGGGAUUUUGAUCUGCAAUUAAGCCAUGACCAUGAAUUUUUUGUGCCUUUUUGUGUUAAUUGGUCUUGCAGGAUUUAUGAAAUGAUGCUAAAUGUGAUUAUAAUAUCAUAUUCAUCCAUUUUUUUUGGGAACCUGUAGCUGUAACUUCCAAAUUUCAUUUUGCAUGUGCUAGAUGUAGAAUUAUUGAACUUUAUC
Long non-coding RNA from Arachis duranensis, 1411 nucleotides. RefSeq lists it as uncharacterized. The record is from RefSeq and is a predicted model, not a curated record. The transcript has 5 exons. Lineage: Eukaryota; Viridiplantae; Streptophyta; Magnoliopsida; Fabales; Fabaceae.